AGAACGAACGCUGGCGGCAUGCCUAAUACAUGCAAGUCGAACGAACACUUCGGUGUUAGUGGCGCACGGGUGCGUAACGCGUGGGAAUCUGCCCUUGGGUUCGGAAUAACAGUUGGAAACGACUGCUAAUACCGGAUGAUGACGAAAGUCCAAAGAUUUAUCGCCCAGGGAUGAGCCCGCGUAGGAUUAGCUAGUUGGUGAGGUAAAGGCUCACCAAGGCGACGAUCCUUAGCUGGUCUGAGAGGAUGAUCAGCCACACUGGGACUGAGACACGGCCCAGACCUCCUACGGGAGGCAGCGAGUAGGGAAUAUUAGGACAAGU
This 322-nucleotide ribosomal RNA is filed under the name uncultured soil bacterium. Its description in RNAcentral is "bacterial SSU rRNA". It matches the Rfam family "Bacterial small subunit ribosomal RNA", at positions 26 to 374 of the family's 1533-position model. The record is from RNAcentral.